UCCAAAACUCCGGAAGGGUUUCUGAGGCUCAGAGGCAACCAAUCUACUGAAAAUUUAUUCCGAAGAAAAAAAGUACAAAGAGUGUGGAUAGGAGUUUUAAAUCUUCAGAAAGGAGAGCACAACGCAAUAUCCCGAGAAUUUCUUCAUGCCGAACAUGCCGAUCCGAGGCCAGUAUCGAAAUUCAGCGUCAGAAGAGACAAUUGUUUUGUUCGGAGUCUGAAGUUAGACUUUUUUAUAAUAGCUACACUUUGAUGUGAUCGCUAAGGA
Long non-coding RNA from Uranotaenia lowii, 267 nucleotides. RefSeq lists it as uncharacterized. The record is from RefSeq and is a predicted model, not a curated record. NCBI's taxonomy places the organism in Eukaryota, Metazoa, Arthropoda, Insecta, Diptera, Culicidae. The transcript has 3 exons.